UCAAAGGAUACAAUAAACAAAAUACAAAAACAAUAUCAUCUUUGGGUUAAGGUGUUCGAGACAGAAGAAAAACAAACAAAAAUGGUUUCAUGGCUUGAUUUUUUUCAUUCACUGACCUUUGGCUUCUUGCGUUGGAAAACUAGUAACGAAGCUAACGCAAAGCCUCAAGCUGCAUCCAUUGAUUCUCCAUUUACAAUUGUAGAACGAGACCUUCCACGAGGCCACAAUUAUUAAUAUAUCGAAACAUAAGCAACAUAAUGCCCACUUCUCCCUUAGUUGAAUAAUCAGUUAUUACUAUGUUGAUCUUAGGAUUAUGUAAUAUAUAUAUGUUUCUAUGAUCGUUUCAUAUAUAGUUGUACAAUAUAAUUUUUAUAAUUUUUGUAAUUUUCUCU
This is a long non-coding RNA of Vicia villosa (hairy vetch), 392 nucleotides long. RefSeq lists it as uncharacterized. The transcript has 2 exons. The record is from RefSeq and is a predicted model, not a curated record. Lineage: Eukaryota; Viridiplantae; Streptophyta; Magnoliopsida; Fabales; Fabaceae.